CCCUAUUAUUUUUGAUGUUAAUUUAUUUUCCUGGGUAGUAUUAGUUGUGUUCUUGAAACCCAAAGAAUUUGGCGGUAUUCUAUACCUUUCAGAGGAAUCUGCUCCGUAAUCGAUAAUCCGCGUUGGACCUUACUUGGAAUUUUUGAUUUGUAUACCGCUGUUAUAAUGAAGAUCAUUUUAGUGCUAAUUUUCUGGUAUCUUUAUUGUGAGUUAUUUCAGGUCAAGGUGCAGUUUAUUUUUAAGUGUGAAGUGGAUUACAGUAUGUUGUUGAAUUUGGAUUGUUGGUUGGAAUAAUCGGCAUGAAAUUGGAUUUGAUAGUAAUUGAAUGAAGAUUGUUUAAAUGAUUUUGGUUCUGGAAUAUGUACACAUCGCCCGUCGCUCUCAUUUUUGUUGAGAUAAGUC
RNAcentral lists this ribosomal RNA (402 nucleotides) under Epicalotermes mkuzii. RNAcentral's name for it is "partial 12S ribosomal RNA". It matches the Rfam family "Bacterial small subunit ribosomal RNA", at positions 874 to 1487 of the family's 1533-position model. The record is from RNAcentral. Lineage: Eukaryota; Metazoa; Arthropoda; Insecta; Blattodea; Kalotermitidae.